This 694-nucleotide ribosomal RNA is filed under the name uncultured bacterium. RNAcentral's name for it is "bacterial SSU rRNA". It matches the Rfam family "Bacterial small subunit ribosomal RNA", at positions 32 to 715 of the family's 1533-position model. The record is from RNAcentral.
AACGCUAGCUACAGGCUUAACACAUGCAAGUCGAGGGGCAGCAUGGCCUUAGCUUGCUAAGGCCGAUGGCGACCGGCGCGCGGGUGAGUAACACGUAUCCAACCUGCCGUCUACUCUUGGACAGCCUUCUGAAAGGAAGAUUAAUACAAGAUGGCAUCAUGAGUCCGCAUGUUCACAUGAUUAAAGGUAUUCCGGUAGACGAUGGGGAUGCGUUCCAUUAGAUAGUAGGCGGGGUAACGGCCCACCUAGUCUUCGAUGGAUAGGGGUUCUGAGAGGAAGGUCCCCCACAUUGGAACUGAGACACGGUCCAAACUCCUACGGGAGGCAGCAGUGAGGAAUAUUGGUCAAUGGGCGAGAGCCUGAACCAGCCAAGUAGCGUGAAGGAUGACUGCCCUAUGGGUUGUAAACUUCUUUUAUAAAGGAAUAAAGUCGGGUAUGGAUACCCGUUUGCAUGUACUUUAUGAAUAAGGAUCGGCUAACUCCGUGCCAGCAGCCGCGGUAAUACGGAGGAUCCGAGCGUUAUCCGGAUUUAUUGGGUUUAAAGGGAGCGUAGAUGGAUGUUUAAGUCAGUUGUGAAAGUUUGCGGCUCAACCGUAAAAUUGCAGUUGAUACUGGAUAUCUUGAGUGCAGUUGAGGCAGGCGGAAUUCGUGGUGUAGCGGUGAAAUGCUUAGAUAUCACGAAGAACUCCGAUUG